GUUGCAGAUGUUGGUUUAACUGUAAGUGGUAUUAUGGUACAACAUAUUUCCACAUAUUCGACUUAGGAUAUGCAAGGAUUCUCUUUGAGGAAUCUUUAGCAUUCAAUAACAGUGGAGUUGGAUUAUUGAUGAUCGUUAGAUUUGGGUUGUCAAAAGCAUCGAGUAAAGAUUCAGUGUAACUUCAUGAAAUGUCAGCUUAACGGUUUGGGUUAUUGAUGGUUGUUUUCAGUUCAAUGGGGACAAAGGAUGUGGGUGAUGCAUAGACAUUGGCAAUCAUGGUAAUAUUUUUUGCUUUAAUAUUCAUGUCUGUAACGCUUUACAUUUGACAAGGUAGGCAUUCUUAUUCAAGUCUUGUUAAAACUUUAAGUUUUAUAUUUUCUGAUCAGACUCCACUGUAUCCAUAUAUGACUCUUGUGAGAGAUACUAGAGGUUCGUUCAUUUCAAGGAGUGAUGCUCUUUUUUAGUCUAGAAAGUCAUUCAGAAAAUAUUAGAAUUAAUUAUGAUAUUAUGUCUUCAGCAACACCGAUACAAGAUGGUAUUCGAGUGACUCAAUAAUGUUCCUUGUUAUUGUAGCGAGUUCAAUUGAAAAAUUAUCUUUAAAAGCCUUUUUUUCAGACACCCUUGUUCAGAGACUUGUAGCGAGUUCUUGUAGACCCUUGUUCAGAGACUUCUUAUAGAAAAUAAAAAGCAAGCUUAAAAGCCCUUUUUUUUCUUAUAAUCCAUCUUUCCCGUUUUUAAGAAUUCCUUUAGUAAUCUUUAUAUUCGAUCUAGAGGUUUAUAUUGUGGUAUGUUAGUCUCCUGGGCUUGACAAAGUGAUGCAGCUCUCCACAGAGAAUGAUAUUGUCUAGAGUAGAGCCCUUAUAAUCAUAACAAGCUUGAACAUUUGCAUCUUUAAAGGGAUUCGAUCUUAAGCAGGGACCACAAUGAAGUGUUAAUCUAAUGUACCCCUGAGCAUGAUAAAUUGUAUAAUAUCCUUCUAUAAACUAGUAAAACGAAACAAGAAAGAAGAUGCCGGAUGUUGUUGCAUCAUGUUGUGACUGGUGUCAAUGUUUUAGUAGUUCUGAAAUUCUAUUAGUUCGUACAAUUUGGUUAUGUUGGGUGCUAAUAUUUUAUAUCUGUAAUAGUUUUCUUUGUUCCGAUAAAGAUCGUUUUCAACUGCUAGCUACAAGCUUAGUACGGAUGACAAUUAAAUUUAUUAAUCUUGUAUUAGUGUUGUGUGUUUAACCUUGGUGCAAUGUUGUUACUCCUGACACCAUCAACAAGCGAUCGAACACCUAUUAAGGUAUCUUUUUAGCCAAUUCAUAAAAUUUCAUUUAACAACCCAUUUAUCUACUUUAGCCAAAAAUUUACUAAUAAACCAACACGAAAUUAUCUAAGAGUAUCAAGUUCAUGUCCACGUUUCGGCGCAAACAAAGUUCGAUCAUCUAAGAGUCCAUCUGCAUAUUUAUGUUUGAAAUAUAAUUUCAAUUUUUUUUGUUUGUUUAUCCUUUUCUUGCAGCCUUCACAAUCAGUGCUUGCGGAAAUUUUUGUUUUCUUUAGACUGAGACAGAGUUGAUGAAUUGAGCGCGCUUUACUCUCCAAUCCUUGGUGCGCUGUUCGGAAGUGUGGGCUUAUUUGAUCAACGAGAAGCUUAUCGUUUUGCUGGUUUGCACUUGUCAUUAAGAAACCUUCAACUUAUUAGGACUUGUACCACUUAUCUUUCAGAAAAAUCUUGAACUUAUUAGGUACUGUAUUGGUGUCAAUUCAGUAUUAAAAUCUUGUUGUAUCAUUUUUGAACUGAAUUUAUGAAUCAAAUGAAUGUUCAAUGGAAUGGUAAUUUGAGUUUGUAAA
This is a long non-coding RNA of Papaver somniferum (opium poppy), 1830 nucleotides long. RefSeq lists it as uncharacterized. The transcript is spliced from 2 exons. The record is from RefSeq and is a predicted model, not a curated record. NCBI's taxonomy places the organism in Eukaryota, Viridiplantae, Streptophyta, Magnoliopsida, Ranunculales, Papaveraceae.